AUGUUUAAAUUAGGGAGAGAAAAUAUGCUGACGCAACAGGCCAUGGGUUGGAACAGAAAAAAGACAGAGAACCUCCACAAAGCUUUGGCCCAGAGAUACGUCACAAUCUCAGAGAGGGCAAAACUGGAAGCUGCCAGCCUCAGUGACUUUCAGCAAAAGCAAAACCUCACUCAGCAAACAAUAGAGCAGUGGGUGUUUGAUGUCCAGCAAUGGGCAGUCACAGAUCGAGUCUACACACAAGGGUGUACAGAGGACCUCAGGGCAGAAAUAGAGACCAUCACAGUAACCCUCCUACGCAAGAAGCAGGACCUCUAUCGUCAGCAUGAUAGCAACCAGACAAGACACAGCAAGCGAAGAAAACUUAGAGAUUUAAAAAAAAAACUAAGAGAAAAGGUCUUGCAGUACAACGCAUCUGAAGAAGAUGAAAUUGAUGAGGACUUGGCCUGCAAUUUGACGGAGGGCUACAUCCUGCCAUGGGAGAGAAGUGAAGAUGGCCACUCAUUCAGAUUGAAAAGGUCACUCUUUGACCGAAUUAUGCUACUUAAACGGUAUGAGGAGGAGCAGAGCAUCCUCAUCAAAGAAAUGACACAGCACAUCAUGUCAUUAAGGAAGAAGAUAAAGGGAGUGGAGAAACUCAAAGACAACAUUGGGAUGUUCGAUUUUGGUGACAUGUCAGAGGACGCUGCAAAAGGUUUCGAAAGUGUCCUCAUGCGGAGGUCCACCGAACUGGAGAAUUCAUGCCAACAAGCUGUGAGCUCAUACAGUGCUAUAGUUGAUGAGUUAGAGAUUGAAGACACCGAACAAAGGGUGGAUUCUGAGGGUGAAAAUGGCUUCAGUAGUCCGGAGUCAGAGGAAGAGGAUUAGGAAGGAAAAUAUCAGGGGGGUUUAUUUUUGCUUUCUGUUAACUUUGUUCUACUUAUAUUUUCCCUCUGUAUUGUAUCCCUAUGUAUUGUUCCCUUAAAUUAGAAAAUAAUAAAUUUUAGCAUAUUCACAGUACCCUGAACUAAGAGCCCAACUUGUUAAUUAAUCAUAAUCAAAGUAGGGUAUAUUUGUUGCUAUAUUUGUUGGCACUCUACGGCUGACUGAAUGUUCAUGCAUUGGUAAUCUAUAAUAAGUAACAAUAAAUACAAUGCCCUUCUUUGAGCUAAUGACUCCAUACUCACUUUUCACUUUGACAAGACUGAUUAAGUGCUGUAAACUAUACUGUUUUCAGUCUGUGACAAGGUAGAUAAGGC
Molecule: long non-coding RNA, 1235 nt
Organism: Gadus morhua (Atlantic cod)
Lineage: Eukaryota; Metazoa; Chordata; Actinopteri; Gadiformes; Gadidae
Source: Ensembl